AGUGAACGCUGGCGGUAGGCCUAACACAUGCAAGUCGAACGGCAGCACAGUAAGAGCUUGCUCUGACGGGUGGCGAGUGGCGGACGGGAGAGGAAUACAUCGGAAUCUACUUUUUCGUGUGGGUUAACGUAGGGAAACUUACGCUAAUACCGCAUACGACCUACGGGUGAAAGCGGUGGAUCUUCGGACCUUGCGCGAUUGAAUGCGCCGAUGUGGGAUUAGCUAGUUGGCGGGGUAAAGGCCCACCAAGGCGACGAUCCGUAGCUGGUGUGAGAGGAUGAUAAGCGACACGGGAGCUGAGACACGGACAAGACUCCUACGGGAGGCAGCAGUGGGGAAUAGUGGACAGUAGGCGCAAGCCUGAUCCAGCCAGAGCGCGUGGGUGGCGACAGCGUUCCGGUUGUAAAGACGUCCUGUUGGGAGAGAAAAGCAGCAGGUUAAGACGACGCUGUUCUGACGGUACCCAAAGAAUAAGCACCGGCUAACUUCGUG
RNAcentral lists this ribosomal RNA (492 nucleotides) under uncultured bacterium. Its description in RNAcentral is "partial 16S ribosomal RNA". It matches the Rfam family "Bacterial small subunit ribosomal RNA", at positions 29 to 507 of the family's 1533-position model. The record is from RNAcentral.